Non-coding RNA from Papio anubis (olive baboon), 60 nucleotides. The record is from Rfam. Lineage: Eukaryota; Metazoa; Chordata; Mammalia; Primates; Cercopithecidae.
GAAUAGGCUUCUUUGGGAUACAAUAAGAUGAAGCCAUUAAUAUUUAAUUGAAAAUAUAAU